RNAcentral lists this ribosomal RNA (859 nucleotides) under uncultured bacterium. Its description in RNAcentral is "bacterial SSU rRNA". It matches the Rfam family "Bacterial small subunit ribosomal RNA", at positions 9 to 890 of the family's 1533-position model. The record is from RNAcentral.
GAGUUUGAUCCUGGCUCAGGAUGAACGCUGGCGGCGUGCCUAACACAUGCAAGUCGAACGGGGGCAGCAAUGCUCCAGUGGCGCACGGGUGAGGAACACGUAGCUAACCUGCCUUCCAGACGGGGAUAACGUUUCGAAAGAGACGCUAAUACCGGAUACGCUGGUGCGCUGUAGAGGCGCAUCAGGAAAGGGGCGACCCGCUGGGAGAGGGGGCUGCGACCCAUCAGGUAGUUGGUGCGGUAACGGCGCACCAAGCCGACGACGGGUAGCGGGUCUGAGAGGACGACCCGCCACACUGGGACUGAGACACGGCCCAGACUCCUACGGGAGGCAGCAGUGAGGGAUAUUGCACAAUGGGGGAAACCCUGAUGCAGCGACGCCGCGUGGGUGAUGACGGCUUUCGGGUCGUAAAACCCUUUUGCCACUGACGAGCAGGGACGGUAGGUGGCGAAUAAGUCUCGGCUAACUACGUGCCAGCAGCCGCGGUAAAACGUAGGAGACGAGCGUUAUCCGGAGUUACUGGGCGUAAAGCGCGCGCAGGCGGUCGAACAAGUGCGGCGUGAAAGCUCCCGGCUAAACUGGGAGAGGACGCAGCAGACUGUUGGACUAGAGGGCGAUAGAGGGAUGCGGAAUUCGGGGUGUAGCGGUGAAAUGUGUAGAGAUCCCGAGGAACACCAGUGGUGAAAACGGCAUUCUGGGUCGCUGCUGACGCUGAGGCGCGAAAGCUUGGGGAGCGAACGGGAUUAGAGACCCCGGUAGUCCAAGCCGUAAACGAUGCUCGCUGGAUGUCCACCGCCCGCGAGGGCGGGGGGUGUCGAAGCUAACGCGAUAAGCGAGCCGCCUGGGGAGUACGGUCGCA